CGAUGAAGGUUCAAGAGGGGCAAGGAAAAGCUAGAGAUGAGAACUGAGUGGAAGAUUCAAGAGUGCCUCUGGUUCUCUUUUAUUGUCUUAAUGCUUUUCAUCAUUGCAAGUGAUUCUAUUGCAAAGCCUCUACAAAGCAACACUGACUGCUUUCGCAAUGUCACAAGUGGUGAAUUUCAUGAAGAAACUUUCUCAGUCGAAUCCGAAGUGCAUCCAAGUCCUCCCUUUGCCGUCCAACUACAGAUGGGGAUGCGUGUUAUUAGUUAUGAUAGUUUUCGAAAGCAGCAAAUUUGCAAUGCGAAAAUAUAUGGCAAUUGCUUAGGACCGAAGAUGUCAGGGCAUACUGAUAACCGGCCCUGUAAUUACUACACUAAAUGCAGAGUAAAAUAGGAUUUAAGGAGAGAUGCAAGGAGACAAAGGUUCGCACUUCUGUUCUGUAGUGCAAUCUCUAAAAUAAAAUGCAGAAUUACCUCAUUUUCCUUUCUUUCAUUCUUCAACUUGAGUUUCUUUAAUUUGUUCUUUUUGCCUUUCUCAUGUUUGUAUGGUUAAACUUAUAACCAAAAGCAAAUUGCUUAAUUAAAUCCAACAUUUAGUAUGAAAGCACUAGAUGAUAUACCAGUUUUAGCACCAAGCACUAAGCGAAUAUUUUUUCCAUGGCCUCCGAGUGGCUGAUUGAGGAGUCCGUGUAUCUCUAACUUUUAAAUAUGAGAAACGAAGAAUUCUUUUUCUUUCUAUAGUUGUUCUCUCUCGUCCUCUACUUCUCUCCCUUAUCUCCUCCUCAAUUUCCUUCUCUUCAUUUUCCUACAUAUAAAUGUGACAGAUUAGGCAGUAUUCAUUUAUUGAAGAAUCCAAGGAUUUUUCUGAAUUGUCAAACACUGAGGUUGUGGGUUUUUUUCAAGGCCAUGCAUGAACAGCGAAAUUUAUUAAGAAUCGGAAGUCUUCAAUAUGAAGGUGCUCUGCAGUCCAAGCAUUACGAAAAACCUAAAAAUUGCAAAAGAAAAAGUAUGCUAAUAUAAUUAUAUUUAUUAAAGAAAAAAAAACCGAAAAAACUAUCAAAUUGCUUGUUUUCAUUUCCGCUAUCACAUAUCACCAGUUAAUUUUCUCCUAACCACAUUUUCAGUUCACUUAAAAUAUUGAAUAUUAUUUUUCAAAAAAUACUGAAUAUUAAUUAUUUAUGGUGAGACUUUGUAGGAUUAGCCUAAAGAUUUAAAU
Molecule: unclassified non-coding RNA, 1212 nt
Filed under: Hevea brasiliensis (rubber tree)
Lineage: Eukaryota; Viridiplantae; Streptophyta; Magnoliopsida; Malpighiales; Euphorbiaceae
Source: RNAcentral